AAGAUGGUAAACUUAGCACUUCCUGGGAGGCAACCUAGUUUUUAAUUUUUAGUUUUGUACUUUUUGCUAUUUUUUGUAUUUUGUUUAGGUCAAUCAAGUCUUACUUAGUAUCUUUUGUAGGGAUCUGAAGAUAAUCUUGACUAAGUUGGGGGAAGAACUAAUUUUGAAAAGACUUCUGGAUCAGGUGACAUCUCUCUUUUUUCUCUUUGCAUGCACCCUUCAUUUUUCCUACUCCAUUGAGGAC
Molecule: long non-coding RNA, 244 nt
Filed under: Elaeis guineensis (African oil palm)
Lineage: Eukaryota; Viridiplantae; Streptophyta; Magnoliopsida; Arecales; Arecaceae
Description: long non-coding RNA (EGUI_LNC066007)
Source: RNAcentral